GGGGUUGUGGCUCAAUUGGUAGAGUGCUCACCUAGCAUGUGUGAGGCACUGUGUUCGAUCCUCAGCACCA
Molecule: transfer RNA, 70 nt
Filed under: Marmota marmota marmota (Alpine marmot)
Lineage: Eukaryota; Metazoa; Chordata; Mammalia; Rodentia; Sciuridae
Also listed under: 2 other names
Rfam family: tRNA
About the family: Transfer RNA (tRNA) molecules are approximately 80 nucleotides in length.
Source: Rfam by way of RNAcentral